This is a long non-coding RNA of Salarias fasciatus (jewelled blenny), 261 nucleotides long. RefSeq lists it as uncharacterized. NCBI's taxonomy places the organism in Eukaryota, Metazoa, Chordata, Actinopteri, Blenniiformes, Blenniidae. The record is from RefSeq and is a predicted model, not a curated record. The transcript has 3 exons.
GCCAGCUGACCGCACACAGGAGCCACAGCUACGAGUUUGUGCCCAAAGCCCUGGUGGUCGUGAGGAAACAGCUGGAGGCCUGCGUCCAGCCCGUGAUGGCUCGGAAAGACACUCUGAAACACACGAUGCGGGACAUGGAAACCAGGUUGGAGUUCAUUCAGGGGAAUAAAACACUCCUGAGGAAGAACCUGACCACGUGUUACUUCGCCGUGGUUCAGAGUCUCAAGAACAGGGUGUCCAAAAUCUUUCAGGACGUGCUGG